UUGCGGUUAAAAAGCUCGUAGUUGGAUCUCGGCAAGUAGAGGGCGGUAUGCUUCGUAGCAUUACUGCCCUAUUACUUGUAGUUUUGCCAGAGGUUCCUGGGUGCUCUUAAUCGAGUGUCUAGGGAUGCUGGCAGGUUUACUUUGAAAAAAUUAGAGUGCUCAAAGCAGGCUAUUACGCUUGAAUAUUUGUGCAUGGAAUAAUAGAAUAGGAAGUUGUUUCUAUUUUGUUGGUUUUCGGAAAUCGACUUAAUGAUUAAUAGGGACAGUCGGGGGCAUUUGUAUUCAAACGAUAGAGGUGAAAUUCUUGGACCGUUUGAAGACAAACUACUGCGAAAGCAUUUGCCAAGAAUGUUUUCAUUAAUCAAGAACGAAAGUUAGAGGUUCGAAGGCGAUUAGAUACCGCCCUAGUUCUAACCAUAAACGAUGCCAGCUAGCGAUCUGAGGACGUUUUUUUUGUAGACUCCUCGGGAAGCUUCCGGGAGACCAAAGCGUGUGGGUUCCGGGGGAAGUAUGGUUGCAAAGCUGAAACUUAAAGGAAUUGACGGAAGGGCACCACCAGGAGUGGAGCCUGCGGCUUAAUUUGACUCAACACGGGAAAUCUCACCAGGCCCGGACACUGGAAGGAUUGACAGAUUGAGAGCUCUUUCUCGAUUCGGUGGGGUGGUGGUGCA
This 671-nucleotide ribosomal RNA is filed under the name uncultured marine eukaryote. Its description in RNAcentral is "SSU rRNA". It matches the Rfam family "Eukaryotic small subunit ribosomal RNA", at positions 613 to 1284 of the family's 1831-position model. The record is from RNAcentral.